UCGAGCGGGAUCCAUCCAGUAGCAAUACUGGUGAAGAUCUAGCGGCGAACGGGUGAGUAACACGUGAGAAGCCUGCCCCGGACUCUGGGAUAACACGAGGAAACUCGUGCUAAUACCGGAUACCUUCUUUUGGUCGCAUGGCCAGCUGAAGAAAGAUUUAUCGGUUUGGGAGGGUCUCGCGGCCUAUCAGCUAGUUGGCGGGGUAACGGCCCACCAAGGCAUCGACGGGUAGCUGGUCUGAGAGGACGAUCAGCCACACUGGGACUGAGACACGGCCCAGACUCCUACGGGAGGCAGCAGUGGGGAAUCUUGCGCAAUGGGCGAAAGCCUGACGCAGCAACGCCGCGUGCGGGAUGAAGGCCUUCGGGUUGUAAACCGCUUUCAGCAGGGAAGAAAUUGACGGUACCUGCAGAAGAAGCCCCGGCCAACUACGUGCCAGCAGCCGCGGUAACACGUAGGGGGCGAGCGUUGUCCGGAUUUAUUGGGCGUAAAGAGCUCGUAGGCGGUUCGGUAAGUCGGGUGUGAAACCUCCAGGCUCAACCUGGAGACGCCACCUGAUACUGCUGUGACUAGAGUCCGGUAGGGGAGUGUGGAACUCCUGGUGUAGCGGUGAAAUGCGCAGAUAUCAGGAAGAACACCAGCGGCGAAGGCGGCACUCUGGGCCGGUACUGACGCU
RNAcentral lists this ribosomal RNA (676 nucleotides) under uncultured Actinomycetes bacterium. RNAcentral's name for it is "bacterial SSU rRNA". It matches the Rfam family "Bacterial small subunit ribosomal RNA", at positions 62 to 747 of the family's 1533-position model. Lineage: Bacteria; Bacillati; Actinomycetota; Actinomycetes. The record is from RNAcentral.